AUUGAACGCUGGCGGCAUGCUUUACACAUGCAAGUCGAACGGCAGCGCGGGCUUCGGCCUGGCGGCGAGUGGCGAACGGGUGAGUAAUGCAUCGGAACGUGCCCAGUAGUGGGGAUAGCCCGGCGAAAGCCGGAUUAAUACCGCAUACGACCUGAGGGUGAAAGCGGGGGACCGAAAGGCCUCGCGCUAUUGGAGCGACCGAUGUCGGAUUAGCUAGUUGGUGGGGUAAAGGCUUACCAAGGCGACGAUCCGUAGCUGGUCUGAGAGGACGACCAGCCACACUGGGACUGAGACACGGCCCAGACUCCUACGGGAGGCAGCAGUGGGGAAUUUUGGACAAUGGGGGCAACCCUGAUCCAGCCAUGCCGCGUGCGGGAAGAAGGCCUUCGGGUUGUAAACCGCUUUUGUUCGGGAAGAAAUCCUCUGGGCUAAUACCCCGGGGGGAUGACGGUACCGGAAGAAUAAGCACCGGCUAACUACGUG
RNAcentral lists this ribosomal RNA (483 nucleotides) under uncultured bacterium. Its description in RNAcentral is "partial 16S ribosomal RNA". It matches the Rfam family "Bacterial small subunit ribosomal RNA", at positions 29 to 507 of the family's 1533-position model. The record is from RNAcentral.